AGCCAGUAAGCUACGAGCACAUGCCUUGAAAGCAUGAGAUUAAAGGCUAAGCCCUUUACUGGCUU
RNAcentral lists this transfer RNA (65 nucleotides) under Aradus compar. RNAcentral's name for it is "tRNA-Ser". Lineage: Eukaryota; Metazoa; Arthropoda; Insecta; Hemiptera; Aradidae. The record is from RNAcentral.